CAGUAGCCGCGGUAAUACGAAGGGGGCUAGCGUUGCUCGGAAUGACUGGGCGUAAAGGGCGCGUAGGCGGCACAUACAGUCAGAUGUGAAAUUCCUGGGCUUAACCUGGGGGCUGCAUUUGAUACGUAUGAGCUAGAGUGGGGAAGAGGGUUGUGGAAUUCCCAGUGUAGAGGUGAAAUUCGUAGAUAUUGGGAAGAACACCGGUGGCGAAGGCGGCAACCUGGUCCUUGACUGACGCUGAGGCGCGAAAGCGUGGGGAGCAAACAGGAUUAGAUACCCCGGUAGUCCCUGUCUCUUAUAC
Molecule: ribosomal RNA, 301 nt
Filed under: uncultured bacterium
Lineage: Bacteria
Description: partial 16S ribosomal RNA
Rfam family: Bacterial small subunit ribosomal RNA
Source: RNAcentral